UGGGGAAUAUUGGACAAUGGGGGCAACCCUGAUCCAGCAAUGCCGCGUGAGUGAUGAAGGCCUUAGGGUUGUAAAGCUCUUUUGCCAGGGAAGAUGAUGACUGUACCUGGAGAAUAAGCCCCGGCUAACUUCGUGCCAGCAGCCGCGGUAAUACGAAGGGGGCUAGCGUUGUUCGGAAUUACUGGGCGUAAAGGGCGCGUAGGCGGCCGAUUAAGUUAGAUGUGAAAGUCCUGGGCUCAACCUGGGGACUGCAUUUAAUACUGGUUGGCUUGAAUUCGGGAGAGGAUAGCGGAAUUCCCAGUGUAGAGGUGAAAUUCGUAGAUAUUGGGAAGAACACCGGUGGCGAAGGCGGCUAUCUGGACCGACAUUGACGCUGAGGCGCGAAAGCGUGGGGAGCAAACAG
This 403-nucleotide ribosomal RNA is filed under the name uncultured bacterium. RNAcentral's name for it is "bacterial SSU rRNA". It matches the Rfam family "Bacterial small subunit ribosomal RNA", at positions 355 to 775 of the family's 1533-position model. The record is from RNAcentral.